This 433-nucleotide ribosomal RNA is filed under the name uncultured bacterium. RNAcentral describes it as "partial 16S ribosomal RNA". It matches the Rfam family "Bacterial small subunit ribosomal RNA", at positions 29 to 507 of the family's 1533-position model. The record is from RNAcentral.
AACGAACGCUGGCGGCAUGCCUAACACAUGCAAGUCGAACGAGACCUUCGGGUCUAGUGGCGCACGGGUGCGUAACGCGUGGGAACCUGCCCUUAGGUUCGGAAUAACUCCCCGAAAGGGGUGCUAAUACAGGAUAAUGUCUUCGGACCAAAGAUUUAUCGCCUUUGGAUGGGCCCGCGUUGGAUUAGCUAGUUGGUAGGGUACAAGCCUACCAAGGCGACGUUCCAUAGCUGGUCUGAGAGGAUGAUCAGCCACACUGGGACUGAGACACGGCCCAGACUCCUACGGGAGGCAGCAGUGGGGAAUAUUGGACAAUGAGCGAAAGCCUGAUCCAGCAAUGCCGCGUAAGUGAGGAAGGCCUUAGGGUUGUAAAGCUCUUUUACCCGGGAUGAUAAUGACAGUACCGGGAGAAUAAGCUCCGGCUAACUCCGUG